Molecule: unclassified non-coding RNA, 391 nt
Filed under: soil metagenome
Description: partial contains 5.8S ribosomal RNA, internal transcribed spacer 2, and large subunit ribosomal RNA
Rfam family: 5.8S ribosomal RNA (bases 1-122)
Source: RNAcentral
GAUGAAGAACGUAGCGAAAUGCGAUACUUGGUGUGAAUUGCAGAAUCCCGUGAACCAUCGAGUCUUUGAACGCAAGUUGCGCCCGAAGCCAUUAGGCCGAGGGCACGCCUGCCUGGGCGUCACACGUCGUUGCCCCCCCAUCUACUCCUUCGGGAUUGCGGGGGGCGGAUGAUGGCCUCCCGUGCGCCUAGUCGCGCGGUUGGCAUAAUAGCCAAGUCCUCGGCGACGCACGCCACGACAAUCGGUGGUUGCGAAACCUCGGUUGCCCGUCGUGUGCGGUCGUCGCGCGUCGAGGGCUCGAAAAAAUUGCCGGGCUCCGGCUCGGCUUUCAACGCGACCCCAGGUCAGGCGGGGUUACCCGCUGAAUUUAAGCAUAUCAAUAAGCGGAGGA